Molecule: RNA transcript, 5716 nt
Organism: Cucumis melo (muskmelon)
Lineage: Eukaryota; Viridiplantae; Streptophyta; Magnoliopsida; Cucurbitales; Cucurbitaceae
Gene name: protein MODIFIER OF SNC1 11-like
Exons: 5
Source: RefSeq, a predicted model, not a curated record
AAGAAAACCGCUACUGCAUCGAAAAGCUCACCCUCUUUAUAUCAUCGAUUCUAAAUUUCGCGCAGGUCUCGAUCUUCCUUCUCCAAUGGCGACCGAUUUCAAAGAAGAACUGAGCGAAAACACUCUUCCAGGACCGAAGCAAACCCUACCGCUAGAUUUUGGAAUCACAGCCGCUGGUAAUGGCCAUGUAGAUCAACACCAAAAUCGCCAUUCUUCCGCUACAAAGGAAGGUAUUGAAUCUCAAAGUUCCGCCGUGGGGAGAAUACCGGAGUCUCAUGCUUCUGUUUUUGAUAUCUUUAAGAAGAUCCGUCGGGCGGAGCGAUUUGGGAUCCCCGUACGUUUAUCAGAGGCAGAAAAGCGAUUUUCUCGAGCUGAGAGGUUCGGGAUUGAUUCAGUGUGUGGACCGGAUGAAAUGGCCAAAGCAGAGGAGCUGAAGAGAAAGGCAAGAGCAGAGAGAUUUGAGCUCUUAACUCUGUCUAUGGCUACUGAUGAAGAAGCAAAGAAGAAAGCUCGGCUUGCCAGAUUUGCCCCGUAUUUAUAGAAUUCCCCUUUGGUUAAACAACAACGCAAAAUCAACAAUUCUUAUGCACAGCCAAACUAUUAUUCAUUUGAUUGACCAAUUGAACGAGCCGACCUUGUCUCAGAUACCCCCUUAGUUAUUCGUAUCCUGGUCAGUUUAAGGAUGCGGAAAUUAUUUGUAUGAACUCUAUAGAAUUGAACUCCAUUAGCCGGAGGUGAAGUUUUAAUUUCUAGAACUGCACCCUCUUAUGGGUACUUUCAUUCAAUUUUCUACAUGCCCAUUUUUGUUUUCAAAAUAAAAUUAUCUAUACUACUAUAAUCAUCGUUCUUUUAGUGCUCAAGAAAGUCCUUCGAGUUUGAUCCAAGUAAAUGGCAAGGGAGAUGUUCUUGUUGGUUCCUUUUUAGUAGGUUUAGCGACUUGUUUGGUGAGGACUCUCAAUGCUCAAUCGUUAUGCAGUCUAUAGCUUACAGUUUCACAUUCUGUUUUCUGAAAGUACCACGGUUUUAUGGAAGGCAGAACAAUGGCCUAAAAGAAGUUUUUCCAUCUGUUUCAUCCAUUGAUGAUCAAUAUACUUCUGAUUUCCACCUUAUCUUACAGAUCUUAUUCAACUUUAUUAACACGGGAGAGGUUAUCUAAUUGCUUCUUUUAUCCUUUGCAGGUCUCACUUAAUCUUCAUGGGUCUUCAUGAUUUAGUUUUUUCUCCACAUUUUGCACACUGAAUUCCUGAUGCAUAGCGUUAUUGCUGUCACCCAGGUGCCUUUUCUUGAGUCGUUGGAUAAGAUGUGAUGGCAUGAAGCUCUUAGCCAUUCUUUUCUACAGCCCAAGUGUUUUCUUUUUUGUUUCUAUUACUUUUGAGGAUCUGUAAGAGGAAAAAAAAAUUUGUUGAUUGACACGGGCGAUGGAUUGAUUUCAGAAUCUUCCUUCAUUUUGAUAACACAUUUAAAUCACCUUUAGUUUUUUCCCUAUCCCCUUAGCAACUGCCCACAUCAUUUUUCUGCUCUGAUAGUUGUAGUUCAAAAGGUAGCAAAUGGCAGGGGUCUUUGGUCUUAAUCAUUAUAGAGAAUGGCAGAUGGAGCUCAGAAGCAUUUAGGAUUUGCUUCAAAAGCCUUGAGACUGCUUUCACUCUGUUUGACUUGCCCAUAUCUUUUUCAGUAAUCACUAAUAAGGGGAGUUGGGAAAUCUUCAGUAGCCUGUCAGAUGAGGUAACCCCCCCCCCCCCCCCACACACACACACACAAAAAGAAGAAAAAACUCCAUUUGACCAUCCUACAGUGGCAUCAGCCAUGUUUUAUGCCUACUAAUCUACAUACAACAACUGACAAAACGAGAAUAUUCUACGCUGAAGGUGAUGGUAAAGAACUGGACAAUGUUGACAUUUCUGAUAGAAUAACAAGAUUUACAAAGAUGAAGGACGUUGUUUCAUUUUGUUACAUUAAGAAACAAUUUACGAACUUUGUACAUUUACAUCCUGUCAUCUUCUAUUUUACUUGCUACUAGAAGAUCUUACAAAUUGAUAGAUCUUUCUAAGAAGCCUGAAGUUUCUAGUUUUGUUUGUGAAGAAAUUGAAAAAGGUAUAAAGACAUUAACAAAGUUUACCAGCUAGGAGUUUGCCGACGAGGGGAGACCUUCUCCUCCCUUGAUUGACAAGGAGCAAGGGGAGGGCCUAAUAUUGAUCAAAUGAGGAUCUAAGAACACAACUACAACAGAAAUGUCAUCGUGGAAAUGUCUUCUCACACCUCUAUCUAUCUUUUUCAGUUGUCACCAAGUGGAACCAUUAAUUCAAGAAAAUUUCGGUCACAAGUAGGAAAGUAGGUUGUCGUCAAUUCAAUGUCAUGUCAUCGAUCAACAAGAUGGAUUCUUACAUUUCGAGCAUAGCUGUUGACGAUGUCAACAGCCUUCUGGUUGCUAAGGUGCUCCCAUAGACCAUCAGAAGCAAAUAUGAGAUAUUGAUCAUCUGGGCGGAGUUUGUGUACUAGUAUUGACGGUUCUGCACUGAGGAUUGGUUUGUAAAAUGGCUCAGGCAGUUGAAAUUUAGGCGGGAGAGGUGGUCUGUUGAACUUUGCUUUUUUCAAAUAUGCAUCACCAAUGGAUCUUGAAACCUGCAGAAGAAUCACAAUCUGGGGAUCUUCUGGAUGAACCAUCCGAAGUUCAUCUCUCACAGACUCUAUGCUUGCGUUGUGUUCUGUGGACAAUUGAAUGGCAAUCACUUCUCUGGUGGCUCUCUCAGUUCUCCCAAGCACUACUCGUGAAUCGCCUGCAUUUGCAAUAUAUAGUUGUCCAUUGCAUAUGAUCCCUACCAAACAACAUGAUCCAGCAGAUGCAAUCUUUGGUUCAUUAAGCCACUGUUUCUGGACAAGAGAGAGAAACCCUUCUUCUGUUGCUGCAAAAGCCUUCCUGAUAACAUUUUCUGAUAUGUCUUGGUGUAAAGAUGCAUAUCCUGCAGUUGGAAACACCACAAAAGAAACAUCAAAAGCAGCUCGUGAGGACGUAAACUUCCUGCAAAUUUUAAGACCCAGAAAAACCAAUAAACAAAAAUCAGACUGUACAAUGUUUACAAUGAAGAUGAAAACCAACUUUUGAGAUUGCUGAAGAGAUUGUCGUUGACAAACCGUGAAGCUUCAGUUCCGCCAUGGCCGUCAUAGACUCCAACAAAGGUUCCCAGCGGACCUGGAUUGGUCAUACUCAAUGCCCCAGAUUCAAGCUGGCUUUGAUCUUCCACCACAUUAUUAGCUUGGAUUACUGCCAUGGAGAAUUGUCCAUAAACAUGGUGCCCCAGAUCCUUAGACCACAACAAUCCAUCAACUCGUCCGUUUGAAUCACCAUCAUCAUGAGGCUUCCAGCAGGGUUUAACCAUUUUUUUUCUUUCUAAAAGGCCAAUCACUGGACACAAAAUUACAGGAGUUUCUGAUUCAUAUGUAUCAUCCAAAUGAGCCGGCAAUCAAAAAAUUCAUCAUCCCAGAUCAAGAACACGACCUAGACCCACUCUCAGCUCCAGGUUCUGUUUAUACUCAACACUUACAAUCUCUAUUCCUGAAACUACAUCGACAUCCCCCCCAAUAUAUCCAGACACCAUUAAUAUGAACAAAAGAAGAAAAUUCAGAUAAAGACCAGACAGGUAUGGGCUAAAAUAACUGCAAAAUGUCCCUUUGAGACAAGAAAGCAACAGUCUUAAUACAAGUUCAGAGAAUAUGGAGGUGAUGCUGGUCCUGUGUACCUUGAAUCUGGGAUUUAUGGGUUUGGCCUUUGCUUCUGUGCCAUCUUCCAGGAACAGACUGAGCUGUAAAAGCACAUAACGGUUAAGAAAGUGGCAGCGUUUGGUCUCAGAUCAAAAGAGGAGAGCCAGCCGAUUGAAUCACUCCCUCAGGGUUUUUGGAAGCUUUUCCACAGAGGAUCCACCAGGUUAGUUUCUCUUUCUCUCUUUCUUUCUUUCUCUGUUUUUCUUUUUUUUUUUUUUUUUCCUUAUGCGAUCUAGCAUGGGGAUAAUAAAAACACACUAAACAAACUACAAAUCUGACAUUGCUGUCCCUCCCCAAUCCCCAAUCCUCAAUCUCCCUCCUUUUUACUUGUUCUCUUCUCUCUGCCCUUUUUCUUUCUUUCUUUUUUCCCCUUUUCUUUUUUCUUUAUUUUUAUAGACAAGUGGUGGGCUUUUUUAUGGGUUUGGGGCCUUUGGCCACUUCAUGUCUGCACUCCAAUUAUAAAAAGCUCCAACUGAAAUUUAUGAGCAAAACCCACCAUUUCUAAUCACCUUAUUAUCAUCAACCAUAACCCACCAUUUCAGGCAAAUUUUCCUAAUCUUAAAUCAGGAAAAAGAAACCCUCUUUUUUUCUUUUCUACACUGUUACAUUUCCGAUCUUCAAUUGGGAUUUCAUUCCUUGUAAAUCCAGCAAUCUAUUUUUUCUAGGUAGAGUUUUGAAGUGAGAUUCAGCAUUGGUUUCUUCCUUAAUCCUUCCACCUCUUCUCCUUUAGCAUGGUAGAGAGAGAUAAGACAUGAUUAAUGAGCUAAACUAAGCCUUCUUAAUUAGCAAAAUAAAAGGAAUUGAUUAAGUGAACUUUUUGGUUCAAUAAAUAAAAAAGAUCGAAUAAAACUACAAAAAAAUUUCUAAAAACUGUAUCUCCAUUUACAAAGCAACAAUAAAGUGGUUGUGAAAUUAAAUCUGAAAUGGAAUUGCAUAGCUGUCAGCAUGGCCAAGCAAUUAUGAAAGAGAGAGAGAAAGAGAAAAUAAGUUAAAAGGGAAAAGGAUAAGAGUGGGGAAUUAUAUUCUGUCAAAUACAAAGCUCAUAAUUUGUCAAUCAAAAGUCAUACUACAGAUUCCAGUGUCGUUAUCAUACUACUUAUAAAUUUUAGAUCUUAUAAAUUUAUAAACUUCCUUUAAUUACAAUUUUUUUAGCAAUUAGUUGUCCAAAAAAAUCUUUCAAAAUAAUCCUUAAUUUUUUCUUCAUUCUUAUUCGUACUUUUUCUAUAAAAAAAAAAAAAAAAAAAAAAGUUCUAUUGUCCAAUUAACAAAAUCUAACACACAUCGAUAUAUUCUUUCUUUCAUGUUUCAUGUAGCCUUUGUUUUUUAUUCCAAGUGGUGAAUUGUCGAAAAAAAAUAAGGUUGAAGCUGAAAUUUUAUUAGAAUAGAGUCCAAAUUAGUCCAGACAUUUUGAGACUAAUUGUUCUUAACUAUUUUUCUAAAAAAGGAAACAUUGUUUUUGUAACGAUUAACAAAAAAGAAUGGAAAAUUGCAAUGAAAAAAAGAAAAACCCUUCAGUGUGGUAGUACUUUGGUGAUUAUGCUCUUAACCUUUCCAUGGUAAAAAUUAAGCUUUCAAUUAUAAGUGUUAAAAGACCUUCAAAACUUGUAUAAUUUUGUAAAAGUUGUAUCGAUGGUAUAUGUAUUAGAGCUCAGUUUUUGUUAUUCGAAAGUUUAAUUUUUACCACAAGUUUGAGGACCAAAUUUAAACACCAAUUAGUUGAUUUUUGCAAAUGGUCCAAAAAAUAAAAAUAGAACACACAGUGGCCACUUUUGGGGAAAAAAAUCUUGAUUUCAGCUCAAUCAAAAAGUCUUCAGUGCAGCCAAUAAGAACUUUUGGUAUAGUUAGAGUUCCCUGUUAUUUAUUUUAGGAUUUCUCUCAAUCGUACUUGUAAGUUGUUAACCGACAUAAAGCGGUCCUUUAACACUAAUUUUUCAAUAUUAAUGAGUGCAUUUCCUCUUUA